AUCUUCAGGGCAGGGUGCAAGUCCCUACCGGUGGUAAAGCCCACGAGCGCGAUGCGCAUGAUUCGGUGAAACUCCGAAGCCGACAGUACAGUCUGGAUGAAAGAAGAUG
Molecule: non-coding RNA, 109 nt
Filed under: human gut metagenome
Description: FMN riboswitch (RFN element)
Rfam family: FMN riboswitch aptamer (RFN element)
About the family: The RFN element is a highly conserved domain that is found frequently in the 5'-untranslated regions of prokaryotic mRNAs that encode for flavin mononucleotide (FMN) biosynthesis and transport proteins. This element is a metabolite-dependent riboswitch that directly binds FMN in the absence of proteins. In Bacillus subtilis, the riboswitch most likely controls gene expression by causing premature transcription termination within the 5' untranslated region of the ribDEAHT operon and precluding access to the ribosome-binding site of ypaA mRNA.
Source: RNAcentral